RNAcentral lists this long non-coding RNA (1385 nucleotides) under Oncorhynchus kisutch (coho salmon). Its description in RNAcentral is "lncRNA (ENSOKIG00005027518.1)". Lineage: Eukaryota; Metazoa; Chordata; Actinopteri; Salmoniformes; Salmonidae. The record is from RNAcentral.
UUCCCCAGAUCGAUCGUCACGGCAGCGAACUCAUGGCGGACUCCGUGGAGACGUUCCAGACACACCUCACCUCUGUCAUGGACAGUUUGAUCCGAGCGUCGGUGUGCGAGAUCACCAAACUGUUCCAGGACACGGUGAACGACUUUCUGGUGGAAAUAUCUCUGAAUAGGAAUGAAAUGGAGGCUCUGAAACUCCGACUCCGACUGACCGAGAACAAACUGAGAAAUGAACGCAAGUACGGGAUGGGGUGGGCAGAGAAUCGCCGCAAUGCUGGUUUGAUAGGGUCGGAGGACGGUGGGCGGAAAAAGCGAAAAAUGGAAGUGCCCCAAGGAAAGCAGAAGCUGGGUCCUGCAUUUGGAGGCGUGUGGGAGGAAGGAGGAGGAGCAGCCGGGGAAGUAGCAGGGGGAGGCUGGAAGGAGGCACGCCAGAUGUACCUCAUCCAUGUCCCUGGGGACGAGGAGGAAGAAGAAGGAGAACUAUUGGAGGAGGGCUGUAUUUCGGGAGAGGGGGAGGAGACGGACAUCAUCAAAGAGGAGGUGAGGGAGAAGAGGAGUGCUAAGUAAUCUGUGUGGCACACACAGUGUCAGUGUGUCAGAGACGACUAGUUUACAAAAAUAACAGUGCGUAUCAUCUGUGUGUGGUGAGACUGAGAAUGUUGUUAAACUGCUGUUUUCUGAGUCCAUGAGACACACUGCAGCAGAUGGCGUGGAUGGUGGAAAGCCACUGAUUUGAUAUUCAACUGCAGAAGUAGCUCAAGCACUUGUUCAGUAGGGCAGUCAAUGUUAAGUGCAGAGCGUUGUAGACACUAUACAUGAAUAUAAUUUUGGGUGCGAACACAGUUUUGUAUUCUACAUGACUGAGAUCAUGCAGUUGCGUCUAUGCAAUGUACAGAUGACCUUUAUUGUAUCUCAAACUGUUUAAACUUGACACUUUUAAAGAAAAUGCCCUGUGUAAAACAGGACCCUCGUUGUUUGUGGCACUUGUGAAAGUGCACUUUGCAUGCACAAAAAUACUGGGUGUGGUCGUGCACUCUGCAUUGCAUUAUUGUGUAGUCUAUGGGGCUGUACUGGUGGGUAAUGUAGUUUAUUUUUGCUCUGUCUGUAGUCCGGUGAUAUGGUGGAUGGGGGUUACCAGCCUGCCUCUCUGCGGCUGAUCAAGGAAGCCCUGAAGAUGGACCCACCCAACCAGAACUGCCAUGGAUCCAGAACUCACAGCGAAGGUACUGACUCCAGCUGAAAGCUCAGAACCAAAAACAUGAUGACCACACCUCCUGGAUAGUGAUAACUUCACUGUGUUCACAUUGGGGUUUUCUUAAGUGUCUGCAGUACAAUAUGUUUGCAUACACCCUCAUAGUACUGCUCCUCUAACAGACUCUCACUCUCCUU